CGGGAGGGCAAGAGUUCAGGGAGGGAUCUCUGUAAACAACAGAACUCAGGAGAGGAAGGGAAGCAAGCAGGUGGGACUGGUGCGAGAGAAGACUCUGGAAGCUGCUCAGCUUUCCCCACCCCUAAAGGGGCAGGAUGACGCACCAAGAGCAAGGCGGACUGACCAGCAGCUUUCAGGACGGCACUGAAACCUUCCCACUCCAACCACAGCCCAUUUAUAACCAGUCCGUGCUACAGACCACUCACCCUCGGUCCUGACCCAAGAGGAGCCCCGCCCCAAUCAGAAUGGGUGGUGGCAUCAGAGAUGGUGAGUUUUGUGAAUAUGGAAAAGGAGAGACGGAACGGUUCCUGCGUUGCGCAUUGAAGAGUUCCAACUCCUCUCUAAGAAUCAACCAAGAGAAAUGCUGGAAAUGCUCCUGAUUCCCUAGAUUCAUUGCUUCCCACCCUCAGGAUACACAAAGUGCCUAGAUCUGAACACGUAGAAUGAGCCUUUGGCUGGACCCUCCUGGCCCUCCACUCACUUGGGCAGGGAGGAAUCAGGACUGAUGCAGCCUCAGGCAGGAGCUGAGAUUCCCUGUCCUUUGGGCCACUAGUUUGAGUUGGGGAGGGAGCAGCCAGGUUAAGCAGGUCAAAAAUUCUUAAGCAUGGGAGGAAGGCAGGAAGCAAGGUGGCACUAUGAUCUAGUAGUGCUGCUCAAACUUUAAUGUGCAUAUAAAUUACUUGGGGAUCUGCUAAAUUGAGGUUUUGAUCCAGUAGACCUGAAGUGGGGCCUAAGACUCUGCAUUUCUAACUAGCUCCCAGGUGGUGCUGAUGCUGCUGGUCCAUGGAGCAGCAAGGCUCUCAGAGAACUGAAGCCUCAGAGGCCCCAGAGUGUUGCAGACCAAGCCAUGAUCCCAGGAUUUGAAUUCUCUCCAGCAGAGCAGAUCCUGUAUUUUUGGCAUUGAUGAAGGGUGCUCUCCUUUUGACCAAAGAAAGCUGGAAGGUGGGCAAUUAGCAAGAUCCUUCUGGUAUUCUUGAUCUUUGUAACAACCUGCUAUAGCUGAAAGAGCAUUUUUAAUUAGACCAAAUUAUCUGGUUUGGCUGUCCAUAGAAAUCAAAGCCCCAGCUGAAAUGUCUUUCAUUUUGUUGGUGUAGAGAUGGCUAAGUGCUGUGAUUUUUAAGAUGUUAAGCACUGCCUGCGGGCAUAUUUUAUGGAGAAAUAAACACACAGCCCAAUGAGAUGUAUAGUGUGGUUUUAAUAUAUUGUAUAUUCGCUUAUUUAUGGGGAAAAUAAAUACACAAGCCAAUAAGCUGUGUAUUAUUACUUUAAUAUAUUGAAUGUAUUUCAUACCUAUAUAUUUUAUGAGGGAAAAUAAACUAGAAGAUACAUGAUAUUAUUAUAAUAACACAUCUAAUUGUUCUAUAUUAAUUUAUUUAUGAAGAAAUAAGUGCAACUUAACAUGACAUAAGAUUAUUUAAUGCAGGAGAUGAAUUCUAUAUUAAGACAGUUUAAGGGA
This 1495-nucleotide long non-coding RNA is filed under the name Zalophus californianus (California sea lion). RNAcentral's name for it is "lncRNA (ENSZCAG00015024172.1)". The record is from RNAcentral. Lineage: Eukaryota; Metazoa; Chordata; Mammalia; Carnivora; Otariidae.